GUUUCCGUAGGGCAGUCGGUAGCGCUUCAGUCUCAUAAUCUGAAGGUACUGAGUUCGAGCCUCACCGUGAGCA
This is a non-coding RNA of Angiostrongylus cantonensis (rat lungworm), 73 nucleotides long. The record is from Rfam. Lineage: Eukaryota; Metazoa; Nematoda; Chromadorea; Rhabditida; Metastrongylidae.